Molecule: ribosomal RNA, 253 nt
Filed under: uncultured bacterium
Lineage: Bacteria
Description: partial 16S ribosomal RNA
Rfam family: Bacterial small subunit ribosomal RNA
Source: RNAcentral
UACAGAGGUGGCAAGCGUUGUUCGGAAUUACUGGGCGUAAAGGGCGCGUAGGCGGUUCGUUAAGUCCUGUGUGAAAUCCCCCGGCUCAACUGGGGAACUGCACAGGAAACUAGCGGGCUUGAGUUCGGGAGAGGGAAGCGGAAUUCCGGGUGUAGCGGUGAAAUGCGUAGAUAUCCGGAGGAACACCGGUGGCGAAGGCGGCUUCCUGGACCGACACUGACGCUGAGGCGCGAAAGCUAGGGGAGCGAACUGG